RNAcentral lists this long non-coding RNA (300 nucleotides) under Homo sapiens (human). RNAcentral describes it as "long non-coding RNA NONHSAT179056". Lineage: Eukaryota; Metazoa; Chordata; Mammalia; Primates; Hominidae. The record is from RNAcentral.
GAGACAUUAAAUGGUAAUGAUGUGGUUACAGUUAUUUGCCAAUUGAAGUGAUUCCUGAAGAAGCACAGAGACAUUUAUUUCCAAGCUUUGAAGGGUUUUGUACUUUUUAAUUAGAUUUUGAAAACAGAGCAGCCAUCUACAGAAUUAUAUAUAUGGUAACUGAUGAUGCCAGACUCCUCCAAAAAAUUAAGCACACAUGGGCUAAAUUUUUAUACCGGACAAUGGAAAUUAAACUCACAGUUCCUGUAUUGUUUAAUAAUGUCAACUUAUUUUGGUUUCAUUUUUCUUGUUUUUUUUUCU